RNAcentral lists this ribosomal RNA (210 nucleotides) under Triticum aestivum (bread wheat). RNAcentral describes it as "partial small subunit ribosomal RNA". Lineage: Eukaryota; Viridiplantae; Streptophyta; Magnoliopsida; Poales; Poaceae. The record is from RNAcentral.
AUGUCCUCCCAUCCCUCACCCCUUUUCCCUCUGAAGCCUCCCACUCCGCAUCUUCUCUUCUCGCUUCCCCGCUGCCAUGCGCCAACCCCGCCGUCACCCGUCGAUCCGGCUGCGGCACUGCGCACUUCCACCCUCGUUGCCCUCCCUGGUCCAGCAACGUCACCUGCUCCCUUCAACUCCUGUCUCGGUCUUCAUGACCCUCAGAUCUAG